RNAcentral lists this long non-coding RNA (349 nucleotides) under Macaca mulatta (Rhesus monkey). RNAcentral's name for it is "lncRNA (ENSMMUG00000055009.1)". The record is from RNAcentral. Lineage: Eukaryota; Metazoa; Chordata; Mammalia; Primates; Cercopithecidae.
AACCAAAACCAAAAAUGGAACUGGAAUUCCGUAGUCCGAAGAUUUUAACCUGAAUGGAAAAGACAAUAUGAGGGUGAUGAAAGACCCUAGACGGUCCGCCUUGGCAUCUGCUCAAUGAAGGCGAACCGCAGAAAUGUGAACUCCUCCUGCUUCUGCUAUUCGUAGGAAGAGGCAGACUUGAAACCCUGCAGUUGUCUGUGGCCUAAACAAUGAUCAACUUGCGAAAUACGGGUUUUUUUUUUUUAUUUGCCUAAGCAGAGAAACACUAAUGGUGCGUUCCUUCAAUUAAAGAGAAAAAAAUAGAUCUACCAAUACUACUGCAUUUGUUCAUUGAUAAAUUCAUUCAUUC